Non-coding RNA from Myotis davidii, 75 nucleotides. NCBI's taxonomy places the organism in Eukaryota, Metazoa, Chordata, Mammalia, Chiroptera, Vespertilionidae. The record is from Rfam.
GGCGGUUCUCGGAUGACACACCCCAGAACCGGGCUCCCUCCUCUCUGGUUCCGGGUCCAUCACCAGAGAACCACU